Molecule: small RNA, 94 nt
Filed under: Salmonella enterica subsp. enterica serovar Kibusi
Lineage: Bacteria; Pseudomonadati; Pseudomonadota; Gammaproteobacteria; Enterobacterales; Enterobacteriaceae
Description: partial RtT sRNA
Rfam family: RtT RNA
About the family: This family represents a bacterial cis-regulatory element known as RtT RNA. The exact function of RtT is unknown although it is thought that it may be involved in changing the cellular response in relation to amino acid starvation.
Source: RNAcentral
AUAUCUCUCCGUACGGGAAGGAUGAGAAGCUUCGACCAGGGUUCGAUUCGAGCGCAGCGAGAAAGCGUUGCCGCAGGCAACGACCCGAAGGGCG